AUUCCUACGGGAGGCAGCAGUGGGGAAUCUUGCGCAAUGGGGAAACCCUGACGCAGCGACGCCGCGUGGAUGAUGAAGGCCUUUGGGUUGUAAAAUCCUGUUCUGGGGGAAGAAACCUUAAGGGUCCAAUAAGCCCUUAAGCUGACGGUACCCCAAGAGAAAGCUCCGGCUAAUUAUGUGCCAGCAGCCGCGGUAAUACAUAAGGAGCAAGCGUUAUCCGGAAUUAUUGGGCGUAAAGGGCUCGUAGGCGGUCUUAAAAGUCAGGUGUAAAAUUAUCAGGCUCAACCUGAUAAGGUCAUCUGAAACUUUAAGACUUGAGGAUAGAAGAGGAAAGUGGAAUUCCCGGUGUAGCGGUGAAAUGCGUAGAUAUCGGGAGGAACACCAGUGGCGAAGGCGGCUUUCUGGUCUAUCUCUGACGUUGAGGAGCGAAAGCUAGGGGAGCAAACGGGAUUAGAUACCCCGGUAGUCCUAGCUGUAAACGAUGGAUACUAGGUGUGGGAGGUAUCGACCCCUUCUGUGCCGCAGCUAACGCAUUAAGUAUCCCGCCUGGGGAGUACGGUCGCAUGGCUGAAACUCAAAGGAAUUGACGGGGGCCCGCACAAGCGGUGGAGCAUGUGGUUUAAUUCGACGCAACGCGAAGAACCUUACCGGGACUUGACAUUAUCUUGUCAGUCUAAGAAAUUAGAUCUUCUUCCUUUCGGGGAAGACAGGAUAACAGGUGGUGCAUGGUUGUCGUCAGCUCGUGUCGUGAGAUGUUGGGUUAAGUCCCACAACGAGCGCAACCCUUAUGCUUAGUUGCUAACUUGUUUUACAAGUGCACUCUAAGCAGACUGCCGCAGAUAAUGCGGAGGAAGGUGGGGAUGACGUCAAAUCAUCAUGCCCCUUACGUCCCGGGCUACACACGUGCUACAAUGGCCUGUACAAAGGGUAGCGAAAGAGCGAUCUUAAGCCAAUCCCAAAAAGCAGGUCCCAGUUGGAUUGGAGGCGCAACUCGCCUCUAUGAAGUAGGAAUCGCUGUAAUCGCGGAUCAGCACGCCGCGGUAAAUACGUUCCCGGGCCUUGUACACACCGCCAUCCAUAUGAAUAGUAGAUCCUC
Molecule: ribosomal RNA, 1096 nt
Filed under: uncultured Dethiobacter sp.
Lineage: Bacteria; Bacillati; Bacillota; Dethiobacteria; Dethiobacterales; Dethiobacteraceae
Description: bacterial SSU rRNA
Rfam family: Bacterial small subunit ribosomal RNA
Source: RNAcentral